This 58-nucleotide transfer RNA is filed under the name Salvia betulifolia. RNAcentral's name for it is "partial tRNA-His". Lineage: Eukaryota; Viridiplantae; Streptophyta; Magnoliopsida; Lamiales; Lamiaceae. The record is from RNAcentral.
GGSGGAGGUAGCCAAGUGGAUCAAGGCWGUGGAUUGUGAAUCCACCAUGCGCGAUGUU